UACGUAGGGGGCAAGCGUUGUCCGGAUUUAUUGGGCGUAAAGCGGGUGUAGGUGGGCUUCUAAGUCAGGUGUGAAAUCCCAGGGCUCAACCCUGGAAGUGCACUUGAUACUGGAAGUCUUGAGUGUGGUAGAGGCUAUUAGAAUUCUUGGUGUAGUGGUGAAAUACGUAGAUAUCAAGAGGAAUACCGGAGGCGAAGGCGGAUAGCUGGGCCAACACUGACACUGAGACCCGAAAGCGUGGGGAUCAAACAGG
RNAcentral lists this ribosomal RNA (253 nucleotides) under uncultured bacterium. Its description in RNAcentral is "partial 16S ribosomal RNA". It matches the Rfam family "Bacterial small subunit ribosomal RNA", at positions 524 to 776 of the family's 1533-position model. The record is from RNAcentral.